RNAcentral lists this ribosomal RNA (323 nucleotides) under uncultured bacterium. RNAcentral describes it as "bacterial SSU rRNA". It matches the Rfam family "Bacterial small subunit ribosomal RNA", at positions 382 to 697 of the family's 1533-position model. The record is from RNAcentral.
CCUGAUCCAGCAAUGCCGCGUGCAGGAUGAAGGCCUUCGGGUUGUAAACUGCUUUUGUACGGAGCGAAAAGGCUUCUUCUAAUACAGGAGGCUCAUGACGGUACCGUAAGAAUAAGCACCGGCUAACUACGUGCCAGCAGCCGCGGUAAUACGUAGGGUGCAAGCGUUAAUCGGAAUUACUGGGCGUAAAGCGUGCGCAGGCGGUGAUGUAAGACAGUGGUGAAAUCCCCGGGCUCAACCUGGGAACUGCCAUUGUGACUGCAUCGCUAGAGUACGGUAGAGGGGGGUGGAAUUCCGCGUGUAGCAGUGAAAUGCGUAGAUAU